Molecule: long non-coding RNA, 1454 nt
Organism: Micropterus salmoides (largemouth bass)
Lineage: Eukaryota; Metazoa; Chordata; Actinopteri; Centrarchiformes; Centrarchidae
Exons: 3
Source: RefSeq, a predicted model, not a curated record
CUUUAUGUAGCCUAUCUGCUCUGCUUAUUCUCCCCAUAAGCAUUAUGUUUUAUAAAGUCACCGAAAAGACAGAAAUCUUGGAUUUUUCCACCUGCGAUUCGUUUUUAGGAGCAGGUGCACCACAUUAACUCCGUUCAGUGUACGACACCCUUCCAUCACCAACAAACCUCCACAGAUGGGGAAUGAGGGAGGACCCGUUGAACAAUGGCGCACAUAUUGGCAGGAUGCAAAACAGCUCUUAGCCAAGGAAGAUACAGGUGGCGCCAUGACAAGGUUCUCACUGGCAGAACUGGCGGACAUCCUGGAGCGGGAGAGGCAGAAAAAGCGCCAGACCAGUACAAGGCCGACGACAUUCAUUCAGUUCGUCAGAGAGGGGGAGAAACCACCAGCCCCCAAGAAAAAAAAGAGCCUCUUGCAAGCAGCACAAUCCUGGGAGAUGAGGGUGGACCUGGGAAGGAAAUUAGUCUUCUCCCGGGUUGUGCAAACAUCGCUGAGGCCGGAUGCGGUCCUAUGGUCUGAGGAGGCAAGGAAGAUAAUCUUGAUUGAACUGACGGUCCCGUGUGAGGACGGGUGCGAAGAGGCCUAUGAGCGGAAAGCCACCAAGUAUCAGGACCUCGUUCAGCAGUGUAGGGCCAAAGGGUGGCAGACCUGGGGUUUCCCGGCGCAGUCUGUGUGGAAGACACUCACGGCUCUGGGUUUAGCAGGAAGGGAGAGGAAGGCAGCUGUUCGUAGGUUGGGUUGGCUGCAGAAAGAGCGUCUUGCUGGCUCUCGAGUAGGAGGGAGGAGUUGAGCUGGGGGCCAGAGGGAGGUGGGCAGUGACUAGCCACCACUGCUGACCGCCAACUGGAGGGUGUUCAGGGUCGAAACACCCCGUGAAAGUUGGACGCCACCUGAUGACAUCUUCUCCUGGCUGAAAGCUACAGUCAUGCACUAUAGUCAGUGACUGAGUUAGAUAGCAUCAGUAAAGAUGUAUCCAAUAGUAACAAUGGUGCCCAUUAUGUAGUCUGCACAUGUAAUUUGCACACUGUGUUCCCCCCUGUCUUUAGGGGUGCUACAGUACCCUCCGCACCCACCUUUUUGCACGCUUGCCCACGGGUAAAAUUUGCAAGCUAAUUAACAUGUUGCUAGGUUUGAUUUCAGAGGAGGAGAGAAAGUUUAUCGGCUCAUUUGAUUUGUCGGUUAACUCAAACACUGUAGAAGAAUGGAUCCUAAUGAUUAUGAGCAGAUAGUUAAAUAUAAACUGAAAGGCGAAUAUCCAGCUCUUUUACCGAAAGAGACAAAUUCCUUCUUCGAAGAAAAGCUGCUCUCUACAAAACUGAAGGGCGACUUCAUCUGCAGCAGCACAGCAAGGUUUAAGCUGCUUCGUCCGUCCAUCCCCGACAGCAAAACAAUCCCCAGUGAAGGAAAACACCAUCUCCAAUCAUCCAGCAGGUGAACGACCUGUCUGCUGUCGC